GUGGAUUUGGGUGGAAAGAGUAGGUUCAGCAGUCAAAUGAAGGAUUUAACUGUGUACAGAGCCUUACUCUCAACACACGUAAGCCCUUUUGAAAUACUGUGCUUUGUCCUCACGAAAAGGAAAAGCUGCUCCUUCAUGUGUUAGUUAACAAAGGUUAAGUAAAGCAUAUUACAAACUUAAUUAUGUAGUGCUGUUGCAGCUUGCUUAAGUGUUAGUUUGUCAAAGAGAACUCUGCAUCCUUGAUAAUGUUUUAGUUUGACCUGCUAACAAAUGUUAAUACAUCUGUCUUGUACAAUGUGUUUUUGUGUGUGAAUGUGCAUGUAUUCAAGGACUAGAAAAGAAAUUCUACAUGUCAGAUGAAGGUCCUUCAGAAUUCAGCAAGUGUCAUUUAAAUGAACAGCAAUAAAUCACAGAGCACACUAUACAUACCCUGUACAGGACAAAAUGCUAAGCAAAUUACUACUUUAUGUACAGUAAUUCUUCAAAUAUUCUUCUAUUUUUUAAAUCACAUUAAGCAUUUAAGUAUAUGUCUUUUCAAAGCCAGAAAAAAAUUGUUAAUUAAAAAUUGGUUAAAUUCAUCAAAAUGGUCAUAACAAGCAGUAGUUUUUUAUUUGGGGGAACAUUAGCAAAUACACAACAGUCCUAUUACUUCCUUAAUUCCUUAAUUUCUGUUAUAAAAUAUUGAAGUCAAAUCUUAGUAUCUUAUCUUAGUAUCUUUUUUUUUUUUUUUUUUUUUUUUUUUUUUAUUACAGGAGAGGAUAAGCAAUAAACAUUGCAUUUAUUAGCUUCUUGUGAGUAAAUAUUUAUCUAUCACUCCUUGGCUGUAUGCUACUGUUGCAUAUUCAGUGCUCCCUGACGCACCUGUACCAUGUGGUCUGCAAACAGAAGAAAAUUCUUCACCACAUGACAAGACAGACACAACAGUGAGUUCUGGGAAUGCAAAGCAGCUUCAAUGGAGAUACAGAAGGGAGGACCAUGGCCCAUUACCUCUUGGAAUUUCCUGAUUUGAGGGGUUCACUGAGGAACCUAAAUGCUGCAUUUGAGCUAGCUUCUACCCGGCAGAGGCUAAGGCAGUGUGGUCAGCAUUGGUGGGGCUGGAAGGGAGCAGAGCUGCAGCUGUGUUGCACAGUGAUGGAACCUGGAGCAGGAUGAUAUGUGCCAAUGCAGUAUUGAUACUUGGAAAAUUGAGAGGCAUGUGUCCAGAAAAAUGAAACCUAUUUCUAACAUUUCUGGAGGUAUAUGUGUCCUUAUGAAAAGGAAACUGAAGACAAAAGCGAACAUCAAAUAAUGUUUCGAACAUUUAAGAAUAUUGAACGCUGAACAUUUAAGAUUAGAUGUCUAUUUUGGGAAAAGGAUUGAAAAUUAGAAAUUUGGCUCCACUCUGUAUUGAAAAGAUGUCAUUUUUUAACCUAGAUGGUCUAAAGGAGACCAGGUAACUGUUGUUGAGUGAAGGCACAUUUUUUUUUCCAUUUGCUAUGGGGUGCAGGAUUAUAAUGACUUUGCAGAUUCAGACAUUUGAAUUUAGGUGCAUAUGUGUGUUCACCUGUAAAUUGGGUUUCUGAACCUCUGUUACAGAGGAUGGAAUUUCAGUCUGCAGUGCAUAGAACUUUGUCACUUGUUUGUCUCACCACAAGGCAGAUGUCUACACCUCUGAAGCUGAAUGGCCCUCACGUCCUCAUUGACUGCAAGGGCUCAGGCUGGGUUUCAAACAUCAGACAUUGGCCUCUUGUGGCAUGAAAAAAAAGAAAAUUAUGUUUUGCUUGAUUUCCAGGUGCUUCUCCAAAGUUGAGGCUAUUCCUCCUUAGGUCUUUGUCAAAUCUUCCAUAUAUGUCUGGAAAUCUGCGUAUCCUAUGCCAUCUCAAACAGUGUUAGGUGUCUAUUUUUCAAUAUCAAAGUCCACCUGAGAGCACCCACCACUCCCCAGACUGUCAUGGUGGCUCUUCCACAUUGAAAUAAGAAUGAAUUGUCUGACUUUAUACAGUAUUUUUAAUUAUCUUUCUUCAGCUUUCAGGCUUCUCUGCGUACAUAACUGCAUUCUCUUUCCUCCUUGCUCUUUCAGCCAAAUUCUUGGUAGUGUAGUUUGUUUAAGUUCACUGAUGCCAGUGUAACUUUGUUGAUUUACACUGGCUGAGGGUUUCCCUUGGUUUGGCAAAUUUAAUCUCAUUUCUGUGAUUAUUAUUGAAUUAUAGCUUUCACUAAACUUUACAGUGUCAUAAUGUGGAAACACUGAAAAACAGUACUUUAAAAGAAUAAUAAUCAGUAAUUCUGGCUUCAUCUUUUUUUCCAGUUUAAGCCCUGGCCCAUAAGUAUCCCAUUGACAAGAAUCUGUUGCAAAUGUUUUCAUUGUUUUCUCUUUGCUUUGUGGUGAGCUAAGUGUUUCUGAAUUUCCUGGGCGGAUGCUUCAGCCAGUGACAUGCUGAAUCUGGUUUUAUCAGUUUUAUUGUGUUUAAACUAUUCUAAAUGCAGCUUGAGGUAUGCUAUAUCAUUAUUAUUAUAAUUAUUAUUAUUACUAUUACUAUUAAGAUUGCUGUCACUCUUUUUAUAGCUGUUAUUAUCAGCAUAUGGAAACUACUGAAUGUCAGUUCUGUAUUGAGCAUAGCUUAGCAUAACUCCAACCAGCGUAGCCAGGAAGAGCCUUGGUUUUGGUUUAGCCCUGAUUUGUAGGUCUGGUGGUGACACAAAUAAUGUAGAAUUCCAUCUGUUGCAGUAUUCAGAGAGCUUUUUGUCCAGGGGACAGAGAUUUAAGUAACAGGACACAUUGCUUUGUUAGUUGAACAAAACACAGAGAGGCUUUCACAACACCUACGUGUUCUUUCUUGUUCCAGAAACUCCUAUGAGCCAGAAAUAUUUGUUGCAAUGUGAAAUGUUCUGUGAGAUAAUGAUAGCUUUGCAGAAAUCUGGAAAUGCAUAGUGGGACAGGAGUUUUUCUUUUCAUGAGCUUAUGUUUAUAGAUGUGUUCAGCAUUAUUUAAUAAAGAAUAUGAUAGACUUUAUGACUCCA
Molecule: long non-coding RNA, 3000 nt
Filed under: Anas platyrhynchos platyrhynchos (common mallard)
Lineage: Eukaryota; Metazoa; Chordata; Aves; Anseriformes; Anatidae
Description: lncRNA (ENSAPLG00000026178.1)
Source: RNAcentral